Molecule: long non-coding RNA, 575 nt
Organism: Sciurus carolinensis (gray squirrel)
Lineage: Eukaryota; Metazoa; Chordata; Mammalia; Rodentia; Sciuridae
Exons: 4
Source: RefSeq, a predicted model, not a curated record
GGAAAGGAGGAGGAUGUUUGGACAAAUUGAUUCUCCAUGAAAGUGGCAUUAGGAAAGGACCUGGCUUCAGACAGUCUCCAAUAAACCAUCCACAAGUGGAUGCAUAGGCUGAGAAUGGGAGAAGUACUUGGGAUGCAAAGAUUAUCUGUCCCCAAACAGGAAAACCUAGCAGAGUAAUGUACCCAGUGUGCUUCCAAGAGCAAUGACUCACGAGGACCUCCCUCCUCCAGCAUCCUCCUGGAUCAUGUUGCAAGAGGAUAGACACCUGAAAUGACCUGGGGCAAUAGCAGCAAAACAUUCCUUCUUCUCAACUGCACAUGGAACUUCUCCAGUUUAGGCACAUGCUAAGUCACCAAGCGAAUGGAAUCCCAUCUGGCGCCCCCCUAGAUGCUGGUUUCACCUUCCAUUCACCUGGAUGCUGUCCUCCACAUCCAGACACCGGCCUCAUUUGGAAUGAGACUCUUUGCCCCUAGCCAGCAGGAAGAAGUUACAGAAGAAAGACCAUCAUCCCACCCUGGUAUCUAAAAAAAAAAAAAAAAAAAGGCAUCAGCUGCUACCAAUAUUCUGCCCCUCCC